Molecule: ribosomal RNA, 437 nt
Filed under: uncultured bacterium
Lineage: Bacteria
Description: partial 16S ribosomal RNA
Rfam family: Bacterial small subunit ribosomal RNA
Source: RNAcentral
ACGGAAGGCAGCAGUGGGGAAUAUUGCACAAUGGGCGCAAGCCUGAUGCAGCAACGCCGCGUGAGGGAAGACGGUCUUCGGAUUGUAAACCUUUGUCUUUGGUGAAGAAGAAAGUGACGGUAGCCAAGGAGGAAGCCACGGCUAACUACGUGCCAGCAGCCGCGGUAAUACGUAGGUGGCAAGCGUUGUCCGGAUUUACUGGGUGUAAAGGGAGCGCAGGCGGGUUCGCAAGUCAGCGGUGAAAUACAUGGGCUUAACCCAUGGGCUGCCGUUGAAACUGCGGAUCUUGAGUGGAUCAGAGGCAAGCGGAAUUCCGAGUGUAGCGGUGAAAUGCGUAGAUAUUCGGAGGAACACCAGUGGCGAAGGCGGCUUGCUGGGGUCUAACUGACGCUGAGGCUCGAAAGUGUGGGGAGCAAACAGGAUUAGAUACCCUGGUA